This 468-nucleotide ribosomal RNA is filed under the name uncultured bacterium. RNAcentral describes it as "partial 16S ribosomal RNA". It matches the Rfam family "Bacterial small subunit ribosomal RNA", at positions 28 to 507 of the family's 1533-position model. The record is from RNAcentral.
GACGAACGCUGGCGGCGUGCUUAACACAUGCAAGUCGAACGGAAAGGCCCUGCUUUUGUGGGGUGCUCGAGUGGCGAACGGGUGAGUAACACGUGAGUAACCUGCGCUUGACUUUGGGAUAACUUCAGGAAACUGGGGCUAAUAACGGAUAGGAGCUCCUGCUGCAUGGUGGGGGUUGGAAAGUUUCGGCGGUUGGGGAUGGACUCGCGGCUUAUCAGCUUGUUGGUGGGGUAGUGGCUUACCAAGGCUUUGACGGGUAGCCGGCCUGAGAGGGUGACCGGCCACAUUGGGACUGAGAUACGGCCCAGACUCCUACGGGAGGCAGCAGUGGGGAAUAUUGCACAAUGGGCGGAAGCCUGAUGCAGCAACGCCGCGUGCGGGAUGACGGCCUUCGGGUUGUAAACCGCUUUCGCCUGUGACGAAGCGUGAGUGACGGUAAUGGGUAAAGAAGCACCGGCUAACUACGUG